This 429-nucleotide ribosomal RNA is filed under the name Pseudomonadota bacterium. RNAcentral's name for it is "Proteobacteria bacterium partial 16S ribosomal RNA". It matches the Rfam family "Bacterial small subunit ribosomal RNA", at positions 355 to 776 of the family's 1533-position model. The record is from RNAcentral. Lineage: Bacteria; Pseudomonadati; Pseudomonadota.
UGGGGAAUAUUGGACAAUGGGCGAAAGCCUGAUCCAGCCAUGCCGCGUGUGUGAAGAAGGUCUUCGGAUUGUAAAGCACUUUAAGUUGGGAGGAAGGGCAGUAAGCGAAUACCUUGCUGUUUUGACGUUACCGACAGAAUAAGCACCGGCUAACUCUGUGCCAGCAGCAGCGGUAAUACAGAGGGUGCAAGCGUUAAUCGGAAUUACUGGGCGUAAAGCGCGCGUAGGUGGUUCGUUAAGUUGAAUGUGAAAGCCCCGGGCUCAACCUGGGAACUGCAUCCAAAACUGGCGACCUAGAGUAGGGCAGAGGGUGGUGGAAUUUCCUGUGUAGCGGUGAAAUGCGUAGAUAUAGGAAGGAACACCAGUGGCGAAGGCGACCACCUGGGCUCAUACUGACACUGAGGUGCGAAAGCGUGGGGAGCAAACAGG